This is a long non-coding RNA of Aedes albopictus (Asian tiger mosquito), 899 nucleotides long. RefSeq lists it as uncharacterized. NCBI's taxonomy places the organism in Eukaryota, Metazoa, Arthropoda, Insecta, Diptera, Culicidae. The record is from RefSeq and is a predicted model, not a curated record. The transcript is spliced from 2 exons.
CAAAUUUUCAAUACGUCCUAAGUAACAAAAUAAACAAAAAUGAGGUUUUUGUAUAUUUCAAUACCUAAUAAACUGCUUUACACUAUUGUGCAAAAUAAAAAAUCAACAGUAAUUAAAAUCUUUUGAAAUUGAAAAAAAUAAACCGACCUAAGUAACAAAGUGAGCACUUUUCAAAUGUGUCGCUUUGUCGUUACAAUGACUUAUGUAACGCUCAUAACUCCCACCUGACGUAAGUGCGCUGUCAAAACGUCCUAUGUAACAAAAUCAUGUAAACACGAUUGAAAAGUGUUUACGCCAAAACAAAAACACUAUUAACCCGAACCUCGAUCGAAAUAGUCUCCGGUGGAAGCUCUGGUGGAGGGAAACCCAGCCUACCGGUACUGAAAUCGGCUACCAAGUCAAGCUAGCAGUGUACUGUGACACUCUCAGCACAAAAAAAGGUGUUUCCGGAAGUAAUACAUGAGGUGAAAAGUGUUCUCCCGCUGCAAGUGCAACCGGAAGCAAUGGGAGCAAUGGAUCAUCGUCCUCUAGGCUCUAGAGAUAUUGAUUGCGACAAGGAUCAAGAUAGAAGCGAGGAGAAAUAGAAAAAUUACCGUCGUCGUUUGCACCGAGCUCAUCCUCGUUUUGCUUCGCCUCGGUUUCAAACCCCAUCCACUUCCAUCGGUUCUGCAUCGUCAGUUCAGUUGCAACAGCGACUCUGGAAGUUCAUGUAUUAAUGCAGCAAUGCAGGCAAGAACUUACAUCGUGAAACUCAGCUCUGGCGAAAUUAAGCUGAACAUUAGCGACCACAAAAAAGUGCUCCGAAAGUGGCAGCAGCAUCAAGUCUUCCUCGCUAUAGUCGUCAACUUCCAAGAGGAGCUCAAAAUCCGGAACCAAGCCACCAAGUAUCUCCAGUGGGU